This 502-nucleotide ribosomal RNA is filed under the name uncultured bacterium. RNAcentral's name for it is "bacterial SSU rRNA". It matches the Rfam family "Bacterial small subunit ribosomal RNA", at positions 30 to 504 of the family's 1533-position model. The record is from RNAcentral.
UGAACGCUGGCGGCGUGCUUAACACAUGCAAGUCGUACGAGAACGCUUCUGCUUGCAGAAGUUAGUAAAGUGGCGCACGGGUGAGUAACGCGUGGGUAAUCUACCUUCGAAUUGGGGAUAACAUUGCGAAAGCGAUGCUAAUACCGAAUAAUAUCCUUUUGACUCCGGUCUUAAGGAUCAAAGAUGGCCUCUUCUUGAAAGCUAUUGUUUGAGGAUGAGCUCGCGUACCAUUAGCUUGUUGGUGGGGUAACGGCUUACCAAGGCAACGAUGGUUAGCUGGUCUGAGAGGAUGAUCAGCCACACUGGAACUGACACACGGUCCAGACUCCUACGGGAGGCAGCAGUGAGGAAUUUUGCGCAAUGGGGGAAACCCUGACGCAGCAACGCCGCGUGAGUGAUGAAGGCUUUUGGGUCGUAAAGCUCUGUCAAGUGGGAAGAACCCGCAUAUGGCUAAUAUCCAUUUGCGUUGACGGUACCACUGAAGGAAGCACCGGCUAACUCC